GUUGAAAUUUUCGGUGGGGACCUUUAGAGGGGUUGAAUGGAGAAAACUGUCGCAGCAAUUGAUGAAAUGAUUCGAUUUACGGGUUGGACGAAGGCGUUGUAGCGAAGCGAAAGUGUAUUGAUCAUUCCAUCAUUGCUGACGCGAUGCCACCAGAAAAGCUUUGUUCAAAUUGAACCACAGAAAGUCUGUGCAUCAUCAGAUUCUGGUUUGAAGCCUUCCAUGAAUUAGGUAGUUCUUCGAAAGAAACGUCACCUCGGGGCCAAUGGCAGACGUGCUCGCUUCACUCCAUUGAACAAUUACAAGAAUUUAUUUAUUCAGGAACUGAAAUAAUUGUUAAGAGGUACAAUUCGGGGGCAAUCGUAUCCCUGUGCAAGAUGUGAAAUUGGUACACCGCAGGGGGUCGCUCUAAAGCGAAAGUAUUUGUCAAGAAUCCCUUCACUAAUAAGGAAUGAAAGUCAGAAGUUUGAUGGCGAUGAAAUCCCCCAAGUUCUGGCCAUAAACUACGCCAUCUAGCAAUCAGAUGAGGUAUUGUUUCCUUGUCGGGGAGCUUUCCGGAAACAAAAGUCUCUAGUUUC
RNAcentral lists this non-coding RNA (575 nucleotides) under Nippostrongylus brasiliensis. Its description in RNAcentral is "Eukaryotic small subunit ribosomal RNA". It matches the Rfam family "Eukaryotic small subunit ribosomal RNA", at positions 633 to 1114 of the family's 1831-position model. Lineage: Eukaryota; Metazoa; Nematoda; Chromadorea; Rhabditida; Heligmosomidae. The record is from Rfam by way of RNAcentral.